UAAUUUUAUGUGAAGUUUGGUCAAAGCUUUCAAAAGAAGCUUUGACUUUGAUUUUUUUAGGCCAAGACCGACCUUAUCCUUUCCCCCAGCAAAUGUUUCUUCCUCUUCAUCCAUGCUCCACGCCAUUCUUGAAGCUUCCAUGCCAUUUUCUCUUUAUCCACCAUGAAAUCAAGUUUUCUUCACUUUCUUUUCCUUUCUUCUCCAAACUUCUUGAGCACUAAAUUUACAGCCUUUAACUCCAAUUUCCAGCACGUCUAAACCCUAGGAGGAGAAGAAAGAAAAAGAGAAAAAGGAAGAAAAAAGCUUGGUUUUGGUGAUUCAAGCAAGGAACGGUAAGAAUUAUUGUUUUUGGUUUGAGUAGUCUUUGAAAAUGAGUUAGUGACUUAGAGAAAUGUCUUGUGGCAGCAAAGAUUGGCUUGAUUGGAGAAAAAUUGAUAACAUGUAAGCCAAUAAACCCAUGGGUACAUGAAGGUCUCAAAGUGGAAAAGGAAAACUGUAAGCUUAAUACUAUGUUUUAAAGCCUACGGUUAGUUGAAUAUUGUGAGGAAUUAUGGUUGUUGAAAGGAUUUAUUUACCUAAGCUAGUUGAAAAUUAUUAAGAUUGUAUGGCAUGUUGUUUGAAAGAAAUGAAAGAGGAAUAUUGUGGAUGGAGAAUUGAGAAACAAAGUAUUGAAAGUUAGAUAGAUAACGAUGCAUGUAAACUAGGAAAUAAUUGAGUGAAAGUGAGAAUGAUUGUUGCUGCUAUAUAUGUGGAUUAUGUGUGGAAAUAUAAGAUGGAUUUGGGAAGAAAUUAUUUAAAAAGGUUAAAGUAGGCAUGUGACAUCAUAAAUAAGUUAUCGGUGAUAUAAUCUAAGAAAUUUCGUAAGCAAUGGAUAUAAGUUAUUUUGGUAAAAAUCUAUUAAGAUGUGAGUUAAUUGAAGAUGAUUUCAUGAUAGGAUGAAAAAUAUAAAUUUGAGUAAGGAUUAAUUGAUUGAAGUGCUACCCGUAUACAGAUGUAAUUAAAUAUAUUGAGUUCAUAUUAUUGCUAGGAAGUGCAAAGAUAAGGUUAAGAACUGUGGUGGCGUGCCAGAGUAAAUAACGAGGGACCGACCAAUGAAAAUAAUUAGAGACACCUCUGAACAAAUAGCGACUUAAUAUAUCGUUGUUUCCAGGUGAGUGAACUUGCAUUAAAAUCUUUUGGAAUAAAUGAUUAUAUGCUUGAUUGAGCCACUUGAAAUAUUUUGUUGGUUUUUCUUUAAAAAUUGCAUGGGAACAAGCCCUUGAUAAAAUGUUUUGAUAUUAUGAGAUAUGAACAUGAUGAAUUCAUGAGUUUCUACAUUAUGUUGAUGUGUAUAUUAUACAUUAAAUGAUACUUUUGUGUGAUAAUUAUGACCCAG
This 1375-nucleotide long non-coding RNA is filed under the name Theobroma cacao (cacao). Its description in RNAcentral is "long non-coding RNA (TCAC_LNC002525)". The record is from RNAcentral. Lineage: Eukaryota; Viridiplantae; Streptophyta; Magnoliopsida; Malvales; Malvaceae.